GGGAAUGUGGCUUAAUUAGUGGUAGAGUGCUUGCCUAGCAUGCAUGAAGCCCUAGGUUCAAUUCCUCAGUACCA
Non-coding RNA from Dipodomys ordii (Ord's kangaroo rat), 74 nucleotides. The record is from Rfam. NCBI's taxonomy places the organism in Eukaryota, Metazoa, Chordata, Mammalia, Rodentia, Heteromyidae.